RNAcentral lists this ribosomal RNA (468 nucleotides) under uncultured bacterium. Its description in RNAcentral is "partial 16S ribosomal RNA". It matches the Rfam family "Bacterial small subunit ribosomal RNA", at positions 28 to 507 of the family's 1533-position model. The record is from RNAcentral.
GAUGAACGCUGGCGGCGUGCUUAACACAUGCAAGUCGAACGGAAAGGCCCCAUCUUGCUUGGGUACUCGAGUGGCGAACGGGUGAGUAACACGUGGGUGAUCUGCCUUGCACUUCGGGAUAAGCCUGGGAAACUGGGUCUAAUACCGGAUAGGACGAUGGUUUGGAUGCCAUUGUGGAAAGUUUUUGCGGUGUGGGAUGAGCUCGCGGCCUUUCAGCUUGUUGGUGGGGAAAUGACCUACCAAGGAGGCGACGGGUAGGCGGCCUGAGAGAGUGUACGGCCACAUUGGGACAGAGACACGGCCCAGACUGCUACGGGAGGCAGCAGUGGGGAAUAUUGCACAAUGGGCGCAAGCCUGAUGCGACGACGCCGCGUGGGGGAUGAUGGCCUUCGGGUUGUAAACGCCUUUCGCUAGGGACGAUGCGUGUUUGUGACGGUACCUUGAGAAGAAGCACCGGCUAACUACGUG